Sander lucioperca (pikeperch) is the source of this 72-nucleotide long non-coding RNA. RefSeq lists it as uncharacterized. The transcript is spliced from 3 exons. Lineage: Eukaryota; Metazoa; Chordata; Actinopteri; Perciformes; Percidae. The record is from RefSeq and is a predicted model, not a curated record.
CAAUUUCAAGUAGCUACAAAACAGUUCUGCUGGUAUACAGCUGGACGGGAGUGUGUGUCAAUAUAGUGUGUA